This is a long non-coding RNA of Anguilla anguilla (European eel), 731 nucleotides long. RefSeq lists it as uncharacterized. The record is from RefSeq and is a predicted model, not a curated record. Lineage: Eukaryota; Metazoa; Chordata; Actinopteri; Anguilliformes; Anguillidae. The transcript has 4 exons.
ACUUCAUUUCCCGAGUAAACCCCUGUCGAAAAAUGUGGCGCAAGUUUGAAACUUGCGAAUGUUCUCCACAGCUACAGCGUUUGAGAAGACGCAGCCCGUUGUAGAGGUACCAGGGGCCGAUGGUGGAGCGACGGGCCAGGUGCAUGCUGGGAAGCGCAGCGCAGCCUCUGGCGAUCUCCGUGUUGAUGUCCCAGAUGACAUGAAGGGGGACAUCAGUCCGUGGCGGCAGUGUGGAAUUGACCACGCGAGAAAGGGCAGCAGUGCAGUAUAAUGGAUGGAGAUGUGCCUCAGGGAGCCUGGCCAGAGCGAGCUCUCUAAACUCUGCAAGCUCCAUCUGGAGCAGGGCCAGGGUCUCCCUUCUGUGUCGGGCAUCAUUUCGGGGAGAAGUGGGGGCAGCGCAGGGCAUGCUGGGUACCGUGGAUGCCUGCGUCCGUCGAGGAGGAAUCUUUGAAGCAUCACAUGAACGCACACAUCUUCACACAGCAUCUGAAGUCUGAGUAACUCAUGAAUUCAUUUUGAAAAAGACUUAUUACCACCCCCUAGCACACCUUAAGAGCAUGAUUAUUUGAUUCAUAUGUCGUGUUUUAUAUGGGCGGUUGUCCACCAGGUGUCUUCAUAUUUGGGUGAGCAGGUACUCACUACACUACAAGGUACAAAAACAUACUAGACGACAUGAGUUGAAUUUAAAAUACAAAGCGUUAAAUACAAAUUUAAUUAUAUGUGGUAGUUUU